This 191-nucleotide ribosomal RNA is filed under the name Garcinia macrophylla. Its description in RNAcentral is "partial 26S ribosomal RNA". The stretch from base 79 to 191 matches the Rfam family "Eukaryotic large subunit ribosomal RNA", at positions 1 to 113 of the family's 3401-position model. The record is from RNAcentral. Lineage: Eukaryota; Viridiplantae; Streptophyta; Magnoliopsida; Malpighiales; Clusiaceae.
AGACCUUCGGACAAUGUCGUGCACUCUCAUCGCUUUGGCACCAACGGACCCAAAGCAAAUCAUUGCAAGCUCACAAAGCGACCCCAGGUCAGGCGAGACUACCCGCUGAGUUUAAGCAUAUCAAUAAGCGGAGGAAAAGAAACUUACCAGGAUUCCCCUAGUAACGGCGAGCGAACCGGGAAAAGCCCAGA